AUCCGCCAAAUCAAUGCAGAGGU
Molecule: non-coding RNA, 23 nt
Filed under: Arabidopsis thaliana (thale cress)
Lineage: Eukaryota; Viridiplantae; Streptophyta; Magnoliopsida; Brassicales; Brassicaceae
Source: RNAcentral